GGGUCAGUGCCCGAGCGGCCAAAGGGAACGGGCUGUAAACCCGUCGUGAUUUCACUUCGGAGGUUCAAAUCCUCCCUGGCCCA
Molecule: transfer RNA, 83 nt
Filed under: bacterium
Lineage: Bacteria
Also listed under: 2 other names
Description: tRNA-Tyr
Rfam family: tRNA
About the family: Transfer RNA (tRNA) molecules are approximately 80 nucleotides in length. Their secondary structure includes four short double-helical elements and three loops (D, anti-codon, and T loops).
Source: RNAcentral